RNAcentral lists this ribosomal RNA (813 nucleotides) under Cetraria sepincola. RNAcentral describes it as "SSU rRNA". It matches the Rfam family "Bacterial small subunit ribosomal RNA", at positions 360 to 1152 of the family's 1533-position model. The record is from RNAcentral. Lineage: Eukaryota; Fungi; Ascomycota; Lecanoromycetes; Lecanorales; Parmeliaceae.
AAUGUAUAGCAAUAGCUACUUGCAUCAUUGUAAAUAUGAUGCAAGAUCGACUAUGUCGAAUAAAAUUCUAGGUAGAAUUAUGAUAAUGACAUUGUCUGCCUAUGUGUCUUGACCAAAUUACGUGCCAGCAGUCGCGGUAAUACGUAGAAGACUAGUGUUAUUCAUGUUUAAUCGGUUUAAAGGGUACCUAGACGGUAAAUCAAGCCUAAAAGGAAAUAAAUGAAGGGACUAAUUUACUAGAGUUACUUAUGAGGGGGUAUUAAAGUACUGCUGGUGUAGAGAUGAAAUUCUGUCAUACCUCUUUUCAAUAGAAAAAUAAUGGCACAGGUAUAGGCGAAAGCAUCCCCUUAUGUGAUAACUGACGUUGAGGGACGAAGGCUUUGUGUAGCGAACAGGAUUAGAUACCCCAGUAGUCAAAGCAGAAAAUGAUGAAUGUCAUAGAUUAGAUAUAUAAGUUUAUUCUAUAAAUGAAAGUGUAAGCAUUCCACCUCAAGAGUAAUUUGGCAACAUUGGAACUGAAAUCAUUAGACCGUUUCUGAAACCAGUAGUGAAGUAUGUUGUUUAAUUUGAUGAUCCGCAAAAAACCUUACCACAAUUUGAAUAUUUAUAUCUUUUAUUGUUUUUUUUUACUUUAUUCUAAUUUUCUACUUAAAAGAAAACAAGAAAAAAGAGGCAAGAAGAUAUAUUUACAAGCGUUGCACGGCUGUCUUCAGUUAAUGUCGCGAGACUAUGGUUAGUUCCAUUAAAUUAACGUAAACCCUUACUUUAUUUUUAUAUAGAGUAGUUCCCCGCUAUAUUGGAUAUGAUAACAGG